RNAcentral lists this ribosomal RNA (356 nucleotides) under uncultured bacterium. Its description in RNAcentral is "bacterial SSU rRNA". It matches the Rfam family "Bacterial small subunit ribosomal RNA", at positions 75 to 422 of the family's 1533-position model. The record is from RNAcentral.
UGUCGCAAGAGAGCGAGGGAGUGGCGGACGGGUGAGUAACACAUGGGUGACCUACCCUAAAGAGAGGGAUACCGGCGAGAAAUUGCCGACAAGCCCGCAUGGGUUCUUGCUGGUAGAGCAGUGAGAGCAAAGUUUCUUUUUCGGAAGAGACGCUUUGGGAUGGGCCUGUGGCCGAUUAGCUAGUUGGUGAGGUAAGAGCUCACCAAGGCGUCGAUCGGUAGCUGGUCUGAGAGGACGAUCAGCCACACUGGGAUUGAGAACGGCCCAGACUCCUACGGGGGGCAGCAGUGAGGAAUUUUCCGCAAUGGAGGAAACUCUGACGGAGCAACGCCGCGUGCAGGAGGACGCUUUUCGGA